RNAcentral lists this ribosomal RNA (1333 nucleotides) under Mycobacterium sp. Its description in RNAcentral is "bacterial SSU rRNA". It matches the Rfam family "Bacterial small subunit ribosomal RNA", at positions 85 to 1430 of the family's 1533-position model. The record is from RNAcentral. Lineage: Bacteria; Bacillati; Actinomycetota; Actinomycetes; Mycobacteriales; Mycobacteriaceae.
GGGUACUCGAGUGGCGAACGGGUGAGUAACACGUGGGUGAUCUGCCCUGCACUUUGGGAUAAGCCUGGGAAACUGGGUCUAAUACCGGAUAGGACCACGGUCUGCAUGGAUUGUGGUGGAAAGCUUUUGCGGUGUGGGAUGGGCCCGCGGCCUAUCAGCUUGUUGGUGAGGUUACGGCUCACCAAGGCGACGACGGGUAGCCGGCCUGAGAGGGUGUCCGGCCACACUGGGACUGAGAUACGGCCCAGACUCCUACGGGAGGCAGCAGUGGGGAAUAUUGCACAAUGGGCGCAAGCCUGAUGCAGCGACGCCGCGUGAGGGAUGACGGCCUUCGGGUUGUAAACCUCUUUCGCCAGGGACGAAGCGCAAGUGACGGUACCUGGAGAAGAAGCACCGGCCAACUACGUGCCAGCAGCCGCGGUAAUACGUAGGGUGCGAGCGUUGUCCGGAAUUACUGGGCGUAAAGAGCUCGUAGGUGGUUUGUCGCGUUGUUCGUGAAAACUCACAGCUUAACUGUGGGCGUGCGGGCGAUACGGGCAGACUGGAGUACUGCAGGGGAGACUGGAAUUCCUGGUGUAGCGGUGGAAUGCGCAGAUAUCAGGAGGAACACCGGUGGCGAAGGCGGGUCUCUGGGCAGUAACUGACGCUGAGGAGCGAAAGCGUGGGGAGCGAACAGGAUUAGAUACCCUGGUAGUCCACGCCGUAAACGGUGGGUACUAGGUGUGUGUUUCCUUCCUUGGGAUCCGUGCCGUAGCUAACGCAUUAAGUACCCCGCCUGGGGAGUACGGCCGCAAGGCUAAAACUCAAAGGAAUUGACGGGGGCCCGCACAAGCGGCGGAGCAUGUGGAUUAAUUCGAUGCAACGCGAAGAACCUUACCUGGGUUUGACAUGCACAGGACGCCGGCAGAGAUGUCGGUUCCCUUGUGGCCUGUGUGCAGGUGGUGCAUGGCUGUCGUCAGCUCGUGUCGUGAGAUGUUGGGUUAAGUCCCGCAACGAGCGCAACCCUUGUCUCAUGUUGCCAGCACGUUAUGGUGGGGACUCGUGAGAGACUGCCGGGGUCAACUCGGAGGAAGGUGGGGAUGACGUCAAGUCAUCAUGCCCCUUAUGUCCAGGGCUUCACACAUGCUACAAUGGCCGGUACAAAGGGCUGCGAUGCCGUGAGGUGGAGCGAAUCCUUUCAAAGCCGGUCUCAGUUCGGAUCGGGGUCUGCAACUCGACCCCGUGAAGUCGGAGUCGCUAGUAAUCGCAGAUCAGCAACGAUGCGGUGAAUACGUUCCCGGGCCUUGUACACACCGCCCGUCACGUCAUGAAAGUCGGUAACACCCGAAGCCGG